Molecule: ribosomal RNA, 1126 nt
Filed under: Bacillus sp. 455B4_12ACASO
Lineage: Bacteria; Bacillati; Bacillota; Bacilli; Caryophanales; Bacillaceae
Description: bacterial SSU rRNA
Rfam family: Bacterial small subunit ribosomal RNA
Source: RNAcentral
UGCAGUCGAGCGGACAGAAGGGAGCUUGCUCCCGGAUGUUAGCGGCGGACGGGUGAGUAACACGUGGGUAACCUGCCUGUAAGACUGGGAUAACUCCGGGAAACCGGAGCUAAUACCGGAUAGUUCCUUGAACCGCAUGGUUCAAGGAUGAAAGACGGUUUCGGCUGUCACUUACAGAUGGACCCGCGGCGCAUUAGCUAGUUGGUGAGGUAACGGCUCACCAAGGCGACGAUGCGUAGCCGACCUGAGAGGGUGAUCGGCCACACUGGGACUGAGACACGGCCCAGACUCCUACGGGAGGCAGCAGUAGGGAAUCUUCCGCAAUGGACGAAAGUCUGACGGAGCAACGCCGCGUGAGUGAUGAAGGUUUUCGGAUCGUAAAGCUCUGUUGUUAGGGAAGAACAAGUGCAAGAGUAACUGCUUGCACCUUGACGGUACCUAACCAGAAAGCCACGGCUAACUACGUGCCAGCAGCCGCGGUAAUACGUAGGUGGCAAGCGUUGUCCGGAAUUAUUGGGCGUAAAGGGCUCGCAGGCGGUUUCUUAAGUCUGAUGUGAAAGCCCCCGGCUCAACCGGGGAGGGUCAUUGGAAACUGGGAAACUUGAGUGCAGAAGAGGAGAGUGGAAUUCCACGUGUAGCGGUGAAAUGCGUAGAGAUGUGGAGGAACACCAGUGGCGAAGGCGACUCUCUGGUCUGUAACUGACGCUGAGGAGCGAAAGCGUGGGGAGCGAACAGGAUUAGAUACCCUGGUAGUCCACGCCGUAAACGAUGAGUGCUAAGUGUUAGGGGGUUUCCGCCCCUUAGUGCUGCAGCUAACGCAUUAAGCACUCCGCCUGGGGAGUACGGUCGCAAGACUGAAACUCAAAGGAAUUGACGGGGGCCCGCACAAGCGGUGGAGCAUGUGGUUUAAUUCGAAGCAACGCGAAGAACCUUACCAGGUCUUGACAUCCUCUGACAACCCUAGAGAUAGGGCUUUCCCUUCGGGGACAGAGUGACAGGUGGUGCAUGGUUGUCGUCAGCUCGUGUCGUGAGAUGUUGGGUUAAGUCCCGCAACGAGCGCAACCCUUGAUCUUAGUUGCCAGCAUUCAGUUGGGCACUCUAAGGUGACUGCCGGUGACAAACCGGA